This 253-nucleotide ribosomal RNA is filed under the name uncultured bacterium. RNAcentral describes it as "partial 16S ribosomal RNA". It matches the Rfam family "Bacterial small subunit ribosomal RNA", at positions 524 to 776 of the family's 1533-position model. The record is from RNAcentral.
UACGAAGGGGGCUAGCGUUGUUCGGAAUCAUUGGGCGUAAAGGGUGCGUAGGCGGUCGCGCAAGUCGGAUGUGAAAUCUCAGGGCUCAACCCUGAAACUGCAUUCGAUACUGCGUGGCUAGAGUGCUGGAGGGGAGACUGGAAUUUACGGUGUAGCAGUGAAAUGCGUAGAUAUCGUAAGGAAGACCAGUGGCGAAGGCGAGUCUCUGGACAGCAACUGACGCUGAGGCACGAAGGCCAGGGGAGCAAACGGG